CGUCAGCUCUCUGUUGGCGCUCGUCAAGCUGGAAGUUUAUGGGAGCAGCAGAGUGUCCUGAUCGACGCGGAAGCAGCGUUGUUGGCCCAUCUUUUGCAGGGCAUCAAUUAUGUAGAUUUCAGCGGUGAUAAUGGAUACUUCAAAGGACCGUGCGGCGUGAAAUUUCAGGCCUUGGUUGGCUUUUUUUUCCGUAUCCUUUCUCAGGAUCAGUUGGAGUGCAUUGUCGUUGGCUUUAUAAUCCGGAUGCGUUGAGGAUUUUACGUUUAGCAUGAGAAGAGGAAAUGUAUCAUUGUUGUCAAGAGAGAAGCAGGUCGACAUGCGUCUCCGUCGGUCAUAGUUUGUAGUUUGUACCUUAAUUAAUUAGGAAUUAAUUGUAAAUACAUGUAUUUUUGGUUUUAAUUGCUUUAGUUAAAUUGUGAAGACUAAUUAGG
Long non-coding RNA from Drosophila mauritiana, 431 nucleotides. RefSeq lists it as uncharacterized. The record is from RefSeq and is a predicted model, not a curated record. The transcript is spliced from 3 exons. Lineage: Eukaryota; Metazoa; Arthropoda; Insecta; Diptera; Drosophilidae.